CAAGGCGUCUUAUGAGAGAUUCAAUAGAGAAUCCGGUGCAAAUCCGGAACGGUCCCGCCGCUAUAAACGGGAGUCUGCAGGCAUAUCCAUUGGAGAAAUCUGAGAAGGGUUUGCAGAUGAUGAACGUAAGCCAGAAGAACUACCCUGAUUGA
This 152-nucleotide non-coding RNA is filed under the name uncultured Dialister sp. Lineage: Bacteria; Bacillati; Bacillota; Negativicutes; Veillonellales; Veillonellaceae. The record is from RNAcentral.